This 6191-nucleotide long non-coding RNA is filed under the name Sus scrofa (pig). RNAcentral's name for it is "lncRNA (ENSSSCG00005003602.1)". The record is from RNAcentral. Lineage: Eukaryota; Metazoa; Chordata; Mammalia; Artiodactyla; Suidae.
GCCAUGCCCAAAUAAACAAACCUAAAUGUCCAACAAUAGAAGGUUUCAAAAAUGAUUGGAGGAAGUUCUCUUGUGGCACAGUGGGUUAAGGAUCUGGUGUUGUCACUGCCAUGGCACAGGUUCCUUCCCCCCUCAUGGUUCCUAGUCGGAUUCGUUUCUGCUGGGCCACAAUGGGAACUCCAUGUUUAUUUUUAUUACAGAGUACAUCUUACAUAAAAUGUACUGUCUUCCUUCGGAUGGCUAUCUUCUUCAAUGGAAUUAGCUGAUUUUAUAAAUCUUGCAUAGUCAGGAAAAGGAUGGGAAUAUCUAUCCUGAGGCCCCAUGGUAUCUGUUACCAAAGUGCUUUACAAAAAAAAAUGAUAGCAAUUUAUCCUGCUGCAUCGAGGAAAUUUCGGCAUAAUCUCCCCAUCAUUAGAAAUUAUCACUAUAAAAUUUGCUGGGAGUUUCAUAAAUGUAAACUAGUACCUCACUACUGGGAGUUCCCAUCAUGGCUCAGCGGUUAGCAAACCCAACUGGUAUCCAUGAGGACGCAGGUUUGAUCCCUGGCCUUGCUCAGUGGGUUAAGAAUCUGGUGUGGCCAUGAGCUGUGGCGUAGGUCUCAGAUGUGGCUUGGGUCCUGUGUUGCUAUGGCUCUGGCCUAGGCUGGCGGCUACAGCUGAUUGGACCCCUAGCCUGGGAACCUCUAUGUGCUGUGGGUGUGGCCCUAAAAAGACAAAAAAAAAGACAAAAAAAGUACCUCAUUAUUGUACUACUUUGUAUUUGGUACCUUUUCUGCAAAUUGUGGCUGAGAUUGUCAUGUUUAUUGUUAUUGGAAUUUCCUCUUGUGUGUUAACGUUCGUGGGAAUAUUGACCACAUUUUUAUAAAUUGGAAGGCACACUCUCACCUCCAUCACCAAUUUAGAAGAGAAGUGAAAGGAUUUCUGAUGAGUAAAAUUCAAGUAGAAGCAACUUCCUAAUCUGUUGGAAAGAGCAUGCGACUCGGAGUCACUGAAUGUAGCCUUGAGUUCUGGCUGAGUCAGUUACUAUUUGUGUUGUUUUGAAAAGGUUUUAGACUAUCAAUGGAAAGACCUCAAAGUAGGCCAGAUCCUACCUAUUCUGAUUCCCUCCCAUUUUUUCUUCCCAAAGAAAGUUGAAAAUGACAGAAAACAAAAAUGGAAACUGUUCAGAAGGCUUUCAGUCUCCCCUGAGGCUCAACAAGAUGCUAUAUCGAGCAAUACCCAGAAAUACCCACAUUACUUCUGCCCUCCACUUGGAAGGUGGGCUCUUCAACUCUCUGCAUCAUCCAGGGCGCUGGGGCUGGCCAACACACUUCACUUAGUCUUGGGCAGUGGGUGUUUGGUGAUACAAAGGUUGGUGGGCAUCUGAAGUGGACACUUUGCUGGCAGAACAGAGAACUAGGCCAAGGUGGGAAGGUGUUCUGACCUAAAAACAUUACUUCAUGUUCAGUGGUCUCAAAACAUUUACGAGAAAGAGAGCUGGCUGACGUUAAUGCCAGAUGACAUUAACAGACACUUUGCAAAUGAUAGUUAUUGUAGCCUAUUUAGGAUUAGGGUUAUUAGUUUUUCUUUACUUUUUUCAACAAACAUUUAUUGAGGCACUAAGCUAAGUGCUGGAAAUACAGAAAGGAAUGAAACAGCUCCUGCCAUCAAGGGAGAUCAUAACUUAACAAUGGAGACCACCACUUAAAGGAUUAUAACUACAACAUGUAAUCAUAACUAGAAGACAGUGUGGUAACCACAGCUGUCAAAGUAUACGCAAUGAUGUUUUCUUGUUGUGAAUUGUGUGUUUUAUAAUUUUAGUGUUCUUCUAAAAACAUCUUGUACUUCUGAUUAUAAAUCAAAAUAGAGAAAUUAGAGGCUGAAAACUUGGAAAAGAGGAGGCCAAAAUAUCACGAUCGGAAAGUGAUAAAACCACAUAUCUGAAAAACCCAAGAGAAUCUACUAAAAAACUACUAUAAACAAUAAGAGAAUAUAGUAAGGUGGUUGCAUUCAAAAUUAACAUAGAAAUAAUUAACCUUCAUAACGUAAACAACUAGUCAGAAAUACACAGAAAAGACCCCACUUACAAAAAAAAUUUUUAAAGAUAAAACAGCUCGGUACAAAUUUAACUAUAGCUAAAUAAUACCUACAUAAAUAAAACUUUGGAACACCAGGGAGGAACACAAAAGAUAAUUUGAACAAGAGGAAAGCCAAAGCACAUUCUGGGAGAAGAUGAUGACUUGGUGUCAAAAAUAUUUCUAUUUGUUUGUUUGUUUUUGGCCUGGUCCAUGUAUUGCAGAAGUUCCUGGGUCAGGAAUCGAACCCGUGACAUAGCAGAAACAGAGCCAUAGCAGUGACAACCCUGGAUCCUUAACCCUCUGAGCCAUGAGGGAACACCAAUAUGUCUGUUCUCUCUAAAUUAAUCUAUGAAUUUAAUCCAGUCGCCUCCACCCUGAUUUAUUUAGCAAGCUGAUCUAGAAUUUAUAUAGAAAGAGAAGCAAACGAGAGGAAUGAGGAAAAUUUUGAAGUUAGGGAGAAGGGACCAGCCCUAGCAUAUAUUGAAAUGUAUUAUAAAAUUAUAAUUUUAAAAACAGUAUACUACUAGUAUAUGAAGAAAUGGAUCAAUGGAGCAGAAUAGAGAGGUCCAGGAAUGGAUUCAAAUACCUAUGGAAUUGUAUAUAUAAUAUAGGUGGCAAAGAGAUGCAUAUGUCAAUAUGUGGAGUUGGGAAGGCAGUGUGGUAGAUGCCUGGUGGACCAGCCACAUGUCCCCUUCAGGACAAGGCACUGCUGCCCCCAGAUGCUGGGAGUGUUGUUUGCUGAAAGCUCCUGGCUGAGCUCCUCCCCAGGAAUUGCUCUCAGCCAAAGGGAGCAGCUUCACCCCAAACUAUACCCCCAGGAUCAUUCAUAUCCAAGGACUGGCUGGCUGAUGUCAGGGUACAAUGCCUGGCCCUCUUCAUUUAAGAGAGCUUUGAAAGGCUAUUCCUGGUCCAGAGCUUGUGGAAUUAAUUGGCUGAAGCUUCGUUGAUGUUGCAUCUCAAUUCAAUUUCUCCUCUGCCCAAUUUUGCCUCUUCACUCCCUUACAGUGUGAUUCCUGGGUGCACUGCCCAGCAAACUUCUUGCACUCUUGUUGGAUGCAAACCUCAUAUAUUUAACUAGAAUAAAUUUCAGCUGAAUCAAGGCUUCAACUGUAAAAUUUUAAAAAUUAAACUAGAAGAAACUAGAGGAAAAAAAUUUUAUAUCCUUGGUUGGUUUAAGUAUUAGAAUCCAUUUAAAAAAAAAGGUGGAUACUACUCAGCCAUAAAAAAGAACAAAAUAAUGCCAUUUGCGGCAACAUGGAUGGAAUUAGAGACUCUCAUACUAAGUGAAGUGAGUCAGAAAGACAAAUAUCAUAUGAUAUCCCUUAUAUCUGGAAUCUAAUAUACAGCACAAAUGAAACUUUCCACAGAAAAGAAACUCAUGGACUUGGAGAACAGACCCCUAGCCUUCCAUAUGCUGCAGGUGUGGCCGUAAAAACACAUGAACUCCCCCUGUCCCCCCGCCAAAACCCAGCAUGUCUUUGACCUGGAAAUUCUGCUGCCAAGAAUUUAUUCUACAGACUUACUGUACUUAAUGAUAUAUUGCAAUUAUUCAUUGCAGUGUUUCUGUAAUAAUAAAAGUUUGAUACCUGAAAUGGAUACAAUGUUCUAUCUCAAUUAAAAAAUUUUAAAAGUAUAAGUAGAUAAAAAUUUGGAAAAAAUCUGAAAACUCAUCAACAGAGACUAUGUUAAAACUUUUUAAAAGAAGAAAAUAAUCUGGAACCCAGAAGAUAUGUGUCUGGGGAUUUGUAAUGAAUUUCACCUUCUCGAGGGGGAACCCGAGUGUCUGAGAAGUUUCGAGAGUAGUUGGGUAAAUAGAUGAAGCUAGUGAUCGGAACCAUGAUUGGAAUGACCACUCCUUGGCUCGGGGAGUUGAGUCCUGUCUAAAUGAGCCAAGGGCUAGAAGGGUCUUUCUGAAAGAACUAUAAGAACUUGAUGGUUAGGACUAGGAAAACUGAAAAGAUAGGCCAAUUAAUUCUGAAGAGUUUCAUCGAUCCACACAAGGAUUGGCACACGAAUGUUCAUAGCAGUAUUACUCACAGUGGCUCCUAACUGGAAGCAACCUAAAUGCUUGUUAAAGGUCGUGAAUGGAUAGGAGUUCCCAUUGUGGCUCAGUGGUUAACGAACCCGACUAGUAUCCACGAGGACUCGGGUUCGAUCCCCGGCCUUGCUCAGUGGAUUAAGGAUCUGGCGUUGCCGUGAGCUGUGGUGUAUGGGUUAAGGAUCUGGCAUUUGCUGUGGCUCUGGCAUAAGCUGGCAGCAACAGCUCCAAUUUGACCCCUAGCCUGGGAACCUUCAUAUGUGCUGGGUGUGGCCCUAAAAAAAGACAAAAGCCAAAAAAAAAAAAAAAAAUUGUGAAUGGAUAGACAAACUGUGUGACAUCCAUACAGUGGAAAACAAUUCCGCAUUAAAAAUGAAACAACUAUAGAUGAAUCUCGAAAAAACUUAGGCUCAGUGAAGCCAGCCACAAGAGACCAAACAGUGUGUGAUCCCAUUGAUAUGAAACAUCCACAGAAAGCAAACUAUGGAAAUAGAAAUCAGAUUCGUGGCAGAGGAGAGAUGACAGUGAUUCGUGGCAAGGCUGCACCAGGGAUCUUACUGGGGUGAUGACAUGUUCUAAAGCUAGUUUAUGCUGAUGGCUGCACAAUAUGAUAAAUCUACUUAAAAAUCAUGGAAUUGUGGCAGUUCACUUGUGGUACAGAGGGUUAGGGAUCUAGCAUUGUCACUGCUAGCAGCUUGGGUCUCUGCUGUGGUACAGGUUCAGUCCCUGGCCUGAGAACUUCCACAUGACAAGAGCAUGGCCAAAAAAAAAAAAAAAAAAAAAAAAAAAAAAAAAAAAAAUCAUCAAUUUGUGCUCUUGAUAGGCAAAAAUGCCUCAGUAAAAUUAUUUUAAAAAAAUUCCAGCAGAGGAUGGUGUCUACUUUGGUGUUUGGGGUAAACCUUUAGAGUGAAGAGGCUCAGUUGAGGCCUUUUUCUUCUUCUUCCAGCUCAUAUUUUUGGUUUUUUGGUGGCACUCAGGGCCUGCUGAAGUUCCUGGGCCAGGAGUCGAACUAGCACCACAGCAGUCACCCCACCAGCCAUAGCAGCAACAAUGCCAAACCCUUAACUCACUGAGCCAUGAGGGAACUCCUCAUACUUUGUUUGCUGCCAGCAAGAAUCAGCAUUCCUCACAAGGAAUGGUGGGUCCCUGAAAGGGUCGGGAAGACAGUAGGGUUGAGGAACCUGAGAUGUCAGAAACUAUCUUGCUGCAGAAGGAGAAAGAAAAUAGGAAAGGGCUGGGUUAAUGCAGGAUGGCCCGAACCCUGCUGGGGAACCCCGGGGGGCUUGAGAAGGAAGACUCUUCCCCUGACAGGACUCAGGGCUGGAGCAGUGAAGGAUAAACCCAAGCUGAGGUCAGAAGGGAGCACAUUCUGCCAGACAGACAAGGAAAUGGAUUCCAAGUAUGCCUGAGAGUUGGUGAGGUCUCCAGCCUGGAUGGUCUUCUUCCUGGUGGCCAGGUGUGAUGGAGGGAGCCACUCAGGUCCCAAACCUGGAGACAUGAUGCUACAGAGACAAGACAACUACUGACAUGUGCCCUUGAGAGACAAACUCAGAAUGGGUGGAGCAGGAGAUGCUUAGAGGUCCCUAAGAUGGUGCUCAGUCCGUUAAUUUCAUUACAGUUGAUCCUUGAACAACUUGGGCACCUACCCUCCUGCAGUCAAAAAUCCACAUAUAAUUUAUAGUUGGAUCUUUUUUUUUUUUUUUUUUUUUGCUUUUUAGGGCUGUACUCAUGGCAUAUGGAGAUUCCUAGGCUCCCAGGCUAGGGGUCGAAUUGGAGCUGUAGCUGCCGGCCUAUGCCACAGCCACGGCAAUGCAGGAUCUGAGCCGCAUCUGGGAUCUACACCGCAGCCCAUGGCAACGCCAGAACCUUAACCCACUGAACAAGGCCAGGGAUCAAACCUGCGUCCUCAUGCAUGCCAGUCAGAUACGUUAACCGCUGAGCCACGAUGGGAACUCCCAUAUAGUUGGCUCUUCACAUCAAUGGAUUCCACCAACCUCAGAUCAUGUAGGACUCUAACAUUUACCAGUGAAAGGAAUUCAUGUAUAUGUGGACCCACACAGUUCAAACCCACGUUGUUCAAGGGUCAACUGUAUUCUG